RNAcentral lists this ribosomal RNA (458 nucleotides) under uncultured bacterium. RNAcentral describes it as "partial 16S ribosomal RNA". It matches the Rfam family "Bacterial small subunit ribosomal RNA", at positions 338 to 795 of the family's 1533-position model. The record is from RNAcentral.
CCUACGGGGGGCUGCAGUGGGGAAUAUUGCACAAUGGGGGAAACCCUGAUGCAGCGACGCCGCGUGAGUGAAGAAGUAUUUCGGUACGUAAAGCUCUAUCAGCAGGGGAGAAAAACCGGCCUUAGGGCCGCCAGACGGUACCUGACUAAGAAGCGCCGGCGAACUACGUGCCAGCAGCCGCGGUAAUACGUAGGGGGCAAGAGUUAUCCGGAGUUAUUGGGGGUAAAGGGAGGGUAGACGGCAGCGCAAGUCUGGAGUGAAAUGCCGGGGCCCAACCCCGGAACUGCUUUGGAAACUGUGCAGCUGGAGUGCAGGAGAGGUAAGCGGAAUGCGUAGUGUAGCGGUGAAAUGCGUAGAUAUUAGGAGGAACACCAGUGGCGAAGGCGGCUUACUGGCCUGUAACUGACGUUGAGGCUCGAAAGCGUGGGGAGCAAACAGGAUUAGAUACCCCAGUAGUC